UACGGGGGGGGCAAGCGUUGUUCGGAAUUACUGGGCGUAAAGAGCUCGUAGGCGGGGCUGCGCGUCGCGGAGUAAAUCCAUCUGCUUAACGGAUGGCUCAUCUGCGAUACGGCAGCUCUUGAGGACAGGAGAGGGAAGCGGAAUUCCGAGUGUAGCGGUGAAAUGCGUAGAGAUCCGGAAGAACACCGGAGGCGAAGGCGGCUUGCUGGGCGUAGUCUGACGCUGAGGCGCGAAAGCGUGGGGAGCGAACAGG
RNAcentral lists this ribosomal RNA (253 nucleotides) under uncultured bacterium. Its description in RNAcentral is "partial 16S ribosomal RNA". It matches the Rfam family "Bacterial small subunit ribosomal RNA", at positions 524 to 776 of the family's 1533-position model. The record is from RNAcentral.